This 540-nucleotide long non-coding RNA is filed under the name Homo sapiens (human). RNAcentral's name for it is "non-protein coding lnc-ADGRL3-2:4". The record is from RNAcentral. Lineage: Eukaryota; Metazoa; Chordata; Mammalia; Primates; Hominidae.
AACAUACAGUCCUCAGCAGCUUUAGCAUGGGCAACAAAUUAAGUCUCUGUAAAAGGCCCAAAGGACAGGGUUUGGUGAGAUUCUGGAGAGCUGGAAACAUGGAGGUUGACAGGAAUGUAAAGAAGAACUCAUUUACAUGCCAGGAGGGUGGAACACCCCAAUUCCAUGAGGAUAACUGCUCCUGUACUCCAGACCUCACCCCAUGUGUCUCUUCAUCUGGCUGGUUAUUUGUCCUUUAAGAUCUCCUUACUCAACCAGUAAAUGUGUCUUUACAUUGUUUUAGUCUUGAACUAGAAGAUGAAAGCAUCAAAUAAAGAAAUAUACUGUGGGUAUAUGGAUUACAAAAAAAGAGAUCUGUGGAAGUUUGAAGUUGAGAAUGAUGACCUAGAGUAUCUGGUGGAAGAAAUUUCUAAGCAGCAAAGUGUUCAAGAUGUGGCCUGGAUGCUUCUAACAACCUAUGCUCAGAUGUAGGCACAAAGGAAUGACUUACAUUUGGAACUUACAUUUAAACAGGAAGCAGAGCCUAAAAGUUCAGAAAAU